RNAcentral lists this ribosomal RNA (300 nucleotides) under uncultured Lactobacillus sp. Its description in RNAcentral is "partial 16S ribosomal RNA". Lineage: Bacteria; Bacillati; Bacillota; Bacilli; Lactobacillales; Lactobacillaceae. The record is from RNAcentral.
GACUACUCGGGUAUCUAAUCCUGUUUGCUCCCCACGCUUUCGAGCCUCAGCGUCAGUUACAGACCAGAGAGCCGCCUUCGCCACUGGUGUUCCUCCAUAUAUCUACGCAUUUCACCGCUACACAUGGAAUUCCACUCUCCUCUUCUGCACUCACGUCCCCCAGUUUCCAAUGACCCUCCCCGGUUCCGCCGGGGGCUUUCACCUCAGACUUACGAAACCGCCUGCGCCCCCUUUACGCCCAACCCACACCGAACACCCUUCCCACCUACCUACACCCCACCCCACUCCCACGUUAUCAAC